RNAcentral lists this non-coding RNA (136 nucleotides) under uncultured Mallomonas. Lineage: Eukaryota; Synurophyceae; Synurales; Mallomonadaceae. The record is from RNAcentral.
CAUACGAUUGAAUAAAAAUAUCACAAAAGAUGAUACGAUCAUGAGAUAGACAUCACAUCUGAGUCUGAGUUCUGUCGUUCAGUUCUUUUUCCAUUUCUGUUGUCUUCUUUCUCAUUUCUUUUUAAGCGAACAAUUU